UGCGGCUGUGUUUUAAAAGAU
RNAcentral lists this non-coding RNA (21 nucleotides) under Caenorhabditis elegans. Lineage: Eukaryota; Metazoa; Nematoda; Chromadorea; Rhabditida; Rhabditidae. The record is from RNAcentral.